AUUGAACGCUGGCGGAAUGCUUUACACAUGCAAGUCGAACGGUAGAGGGGCAACCCUUGAGAGUGGCGAACGGGUGAGUAAUGUAUCGGAACAUGCCCAGUCGUGGGGGAUAACGUAGCGAAAGUUACGCUAAUACCGCAUACGAUCUAUGGAUGAAAGCGGGGGAUCGCAAGACCUCGCGCGAUUGGAGUGGCCGAUAUCAGAUUAGGUAGUUGGUGGGGUAAAGGCCUACCAAGCCGACGAUCUGUAGCUGGUCUGAGAGGACGACCAGCCACACUGGGACUGAGACACGGCCCAGACUCCUACGGGAGGCAGCAGUGGGGAAUUUUGGACAAUGGGCGCAAGCCUGAUCCAGCCAUUCCGCGUGCAGGAUGAAGGCCCUCGGGUUGUAAACUGCUUUUGUACAGAACGAAAAGGCUCUGGUUAAUACCUGGGGCUCAUGGCGGUACUGUAGGAAUAAGCACCGGCUAACUACGUGCCAGCAGCCGCAGUAA
Molecule: ribosomal RNA, 494 nt
Filed under: uncultured bacterium
Lineage: Bacteria
Description: partial 16S ribosomal RNA
Rfam family: Bacterial small subunit ribosomal RNA
Source: RNAcentral